CCUACGGGGCGCACCAGUGGGGAAUAUUGCACAAUGGGCGCAAGCCUGAUGCAGCCAUGCCGCGUGUAUGAAGAAGGCCUUCGGGUUGUAAAGUACUUUCAGCGGGGAGGAAGGCGAUAAGGUUAAUAACCUUGUCGAUUGACGUUACCCGCAGAAGGAGCACCGGCUAACUCCGUGCCAGCAGCCGCGGUAAUACGGAGGGUGCAAGCGUUAAUCGGAAUUACUGGGCGUAAAGCGCACGCAGGCGGUCUGUCAAGUCGGAUGUGAAAUCCCCGGGCUCAACCUGGGAACUGCGUCCGAAACUGGCAGGCUAGAGUCUUGUAGAGGGGGGUAGAAUUCCAGGUGUAGCGGUGAAAUGCGUAGAGAUCUGGAGGAAUACCGGUGGCGAAGGCGGCCCCCUGGACAAAGACUGACGCUCAGGUGCAAAAGCGUGGGGAGCAGACAGGAUUAGAUACCCCAGUAGUC
Molecule: ribosomal RNA, 465 nt
Filed under: uncultured bacterium
Lineage: Bacteria
Description: bacterial SSU rRNA
Rfam family: Bacterial small subunit ribosomal RNA
Source: RNAcentral